Molecule: ribosomal RNA, 465 nt
Filed under: uncultured bacterium
Lineage: Bacteria
Description: partial 16S ribosomal RNA
Rfam family: Bacterial small subunit ribosomal RNA
Source: RNAcentral
CCUACGGGUGGCAGCAGUGGGGAAUAUUGCGCAAUGGGCGAAAGCCUGACGCAGCGACGCCGCGUGAGGGAUGAAGGUCUUCGGAUCGUAAACCUCUGUCAGCAGGGCAGAACGGUCACUGUGCUAAUCAGCAGUGAAUUGACGGUACCUGCAAAGGAAGCACCGGCUAACUCCGUGCCAGCAGCCGCGGUAAUACGGAGGGAGCGGGCGUUAAUCGGAAUUACUGGGCGUAAAGCGCUCGUAGGCGGUAUGUCAAGUCAAGGGUGAAAUCCCCGCGCUCAACGUGGGAACUGCCUUUGAAACUGGCAAACUGGAGUGUGUGAGAGGAUAGUGGAAUUCCAGGUGUAGGAGUGAAAGCCGUAGAUAUCUGGAGGAACAUCAGUGGCGAAGGCGACUAUCUGGCACAUAACUGACGCUGAGGAGCGAAAGCGUGGGUAGCAAACAGGAUUAGAUACCCUUGUAGUC